RNAcentral lists this non-coding RNA (128 nucleotides) under unclassified sequences. The record is from RNAcentral.
AUACUGAAUCAUGGUGGGGAAUAAUGUGAGAAUCAUUAGCUGUUCCUGCAACGGUAAAGUCCGAGUGCCACCCAGUAGAGACCGCUGUUGAAUGAAGGCCAGGAAAAGUCUAGUUCUGCAAUGAAAAA